Long non-coding RNA from Ruditapes philippinarum (Manila clam), 1328 nucleotides. RefSeq lists it as uncharacterized. The record is from RefSeq and is a predicted model, not a curated record. The transcript is spliced from 3 exons. NCBI's taxonomy places the organism in Eukaryota, Metazoa, Mollusca, Bivalvia, Venerida, Veneridae.
GAACACCGUGACGUGUCAAGCAAACGGUAAUGAGUGUGACCCGAAUGAACAUACUGAAUGUGACACAGUUAAGGGAAAGUGUAAAUGUGCAGCUGGUUUUACAAUGAAUGUCGACGUCUGUACGGCUAAAAACACAGGUGCUACCAUUACGAUGAAACUCGGCCUAUUUGCCAUACCGGUGGUCCUUGCACCCUGAGGCAGUCAAAAAUCUCAGAUAAGACGAUCGUCAAAAGCUGAUGAAACGAUUCUUCAGAACCGGAAGUAUAUAUAUUAUAUGAUUUACUUUUUUCCUUAUGACAUUCGGAGUUAUUUUAGUGCUUUUUGAAAAGUGUGUAACAUAAACCGUUUGUUUCUCAAAUCUAUGCUUUUCUGUGAUGUAAAGAACUUGUUACUUACGUGAUUUGUGCGAAAUGCAAGUAGAUAUAUGAAAAUACAGAAAGCAUGAAUAUAUUUAAUAAGUUGAUAAACUGACAAUCUGUUUACAAAAAAAAAAAGAAUUUAUAUAUACUGGCAUUUAUCUAUUCAUUUUUUAAAAAGAAUUAUUGAUAUUUUUUAGUUGUUUUUUCUUUUUGUUAAAAACAGUGGUUAUUGAAUAUGCCUUUGAUUUAUUAUCAAAUGUUCGAUUGUUUGGACUGAAUUAACUGUGUAAAACGACAUAAAAUAAUUUUCGAUUUCACUUUCCAUGAGUGAAAGCAAGGGAACUUCUAAUAUAACAAAUUCGAAAAUAGCAAAUGUUAUGUUAUGUACUGAAAACUAAACUAUUGCAAAAGAAGAAGAACAACAAAAUUAACAAACAAUUUAAUUAACAAACAAAAAUACAGAUUUUUGAUUUAAUCAAUUACAUACCCGUGGAAGUUUUAUCAAUGACAAUUUUCAAUUAUGUAAAUUAUAAAUAAAAACAGAUACUUACAUCUAAACCAGGACAGCAUGAAUCAAACGGAGGACUCAAUGCUACUGAGCAUGCAUGCAUUGACUGAAAUAAGGAUUCGACUACAGUUUCAAUAAUUAAAUUUGGACCCUAAAACUAUGCUAAACUGCACUGUAUAAAUAUCGAAUAAUCUGUAAGUUUAAGUGAGAAAGUGAGAGAUAGGUGAGUGAGUGAGUGAGUUACGUGCCGAAUCCUAUUAAUUUUUUGCCGAAUCGUAUUUGUAUAUGUAAAUAUUUGUAUAUCCAAAGUUAUACAUAGCAAUGUGUGUUUGUGGUAAGUUUAAAAGCAAACAACCGAUUACAUACCUAAUUGUCUAAUCAUCUUUUGUCAUUCAAAGCAACUUAUGUAAACAAAAUAUAGUAUAGUUUCAAUUUAUAUCUUAGAAAUGUUGUAAUAUUGU